This 253-nucleotide ribosomal RNA is filed under the name uncultured bacterium. RNAcentral's name for it is "partial 16S ribosomal RNA". It matches the Rfam family "Bacterial small subunit ribosomal RNA", at positions 524 to 776 of the family's 1533-position model. The record is from RNAcentral.
UACGUAGGGGGCAAGCGUUGUCCGGAUUUAUUGGGCGUAAAGAGCGUGUAGGCGGCCAGGUAGGUCCGUUGUGAAAACUGGAGGCUUAACCUCCAGCUGUCGAUGGAAACCAUCUGGCUAGAGUCCGGAAGAGGAGAGUGGAAUUCCUGGUGUAGCGGUGAAAUGCGCAGAUAUCGUGAGGAACACCAGAGGCGAAGGCGGCUACCUAGACAAUUGCUGACGCUCAGGCACGAAAGCGUGGGGAGCAAAAGGG